RNAcentral lists this ribosomal RNA (418 nucleotides) under Phyzelaphryne sp. 1b AF-2012. RNAcentral's name for it is "partial 12S ribosomal RNA". The record is from RNAcentral. Lineage: Eukaryota; Metazoa; Chordata; Amphibia; Anura; Eleutherodactylidae.
UUGGUCCUAGCCUUGAAAUUAAUUGUUACUAAAUUUACACAUGCAAGCCUCCCCACCCCUGUGAGUAUUCCCUUGCCCUUUUCUCCAGGGCAAGGGACAGGUAUCAGGUUCAACAUGCCCAAGACACCUAGCCCAGCCACACCCACAAGGACUUCAGCAGUGAUUAACAUUGAACAUAAGCGACAGCUUGAUUCAAUUAUAGUAAACAGGGCUGGCAAAGUUAGUGCCAGCCGCCGCGGUCACACUACAUCAGCUCAAAUUAAUAUCUAUCGGCGUAAAGCGUGAUUAAAACACUCAACAAAGCUAGAGUCAAACAUAAAUCAUUCCGUUCAAACCUCAUUUAUAAGAAGCUCAACAACGAAAGUCACUCUAAACUAAUCAACUUGAACUCACGACAGCAGAAAAACAAACUGGGAUU